CAGAUGCAGUUCAGGUUCAGUGUUGCCAUGGCUGUGGCAUAGGCUGGUGGCUGCAGCUCUGAUUCAACCUAAGACCUGGGAACUUCAAUAUGCCACAGGCGAGGCUAUAAAAAGAAAAACAAAACAAAAAAACAGAUCCCAGAACCUUACCCCAAACCUAUCAAGUCAGAAUCUCCAGAUGAAGAACCAGGGAAUCUUUAUUUAAGACUCCUCGAGGGAAUCUUAAGCAGCACUCCAAAGAUGGCUACUGGGGACUCAUCUUCUCAGAAACCAUCAAAAAGGCAACUGCCUAAAGACCACUGACUUUGAGGAGGGGAGGGAGAGGAUUUUUUUUUUUUCUUUUUAGGGCUGCACCCAUGGCAUAUAGAGGUUCCCAGGCUAGGGGUCCAAUCGGAGCUACAGCUGCCGGCCUACACCACAGCCACAGCAACAUCAGAUCUGAGCCGUGUUUGCAACCUACACCACAGCUCACGGCAAUGCUGGAUCCUUAACCCACUGAGCAAAGCCUGAAUUGAACCUGCCAACUCAUGGUUCCUAGUCGGAUUCAUUUCCACUGCACCACGAUGGGAACCCUGAGGAGGGGAAAGAGAAGGAAUUGAAGGAAAAGAAAAUAGAGCCAGGAGUUGAGCAGAGGAGAAGGGGAAGAGGCUUAGAAACCAGACACCUGUGAUGAAAUAAAAGACUCCAUCACGAAACACCUGCACUGAAAGGCGCACUGGGUGGACUGAGCCCCUGCCCAGACUCUGUGGCAGUUAGUGCUGGGAGCCCUGUGCUUGGGGACUUUUUUUUUUUUUUUUUUUAAAGGAGCAGCUGGUGGUUUCUAUGGAGACAAUUUCAACUUUGAACAAUAGCCUGUGGUAUUUUGAAGGAUCUAAAUUAGUGAGCAACAGGCAUGUGUCCAGUGCUUCUAGCUGGAUUAGUAAGCCAUCCCGCUCAAGAAUUCUUCCUCCAGCUGAACUGGGGGUGAGUCAGAGCGGUCAAAGCCAAGUAGAAGAGGUCUGCUUUCUGAUUUCAGCAGCAAGACACCUGUGGCCCCCUUUCAACAGUGAAGAACUGCACAUCAAGCCUCUCUUCUGCCUGUGCAUUGCCAGGGCCAGUUUAUUUUCUUUGGAAUCUUUUCUGCGCACAAAUCUAAACCCUAAAGCCUUUGUUUUGCCUUCUCUAUAAAAUAAAAUCAGGGAUCCCCUAGAGAAUCA
RNAcentral lists this long non-coding RNA (1196 nucleotides) under Sus scrofa (pig). RNAcentral's name for it is "lncRNA (ENSSSCG00070023888.1)". Lineage: Eukaryota; Metazoa; Chordata; Mammalia; Artiodactyla; Suidae. The record is from RNAcentral.